RNAcentral lists this ribosomal RNA (301 nucleotides) under uncultured bacterium. Its description in RNAcentral is "partial 16S ribosomal RNA". It matches the Rfam family "Bacterial small subunit ribosomal RNA", at positions 509 to 807 of the family's 1533-position model. The record is from RNAcentral.
CAGUAGCCGCGGGAAUACAGAGGAUGCAAGCGUUAUCCGGAAUGAUUGGGCGUAAAGCGUCUGUAGGUGGCUUUUCAAGUCCGCCGUCAAAUCCCAGGGCUCAACCCUGGACAGGCGGUGGAAACUACCAAGCUGGAGUACGGUAGGGGCAGAGGGAAUUUCCGGUGGAGCGGUGAGAUGCGUUGAGAUCGGAAAGGACACCAACAGCGAAAGCACUCUGCUGGGCCGACACUGACACUGAGAGACGAAAGCUAGGGGAGCAAAUGGGAUUAGAUACCCGCGUAGUCCCUGUCUCUUAUAC